UCAUCAUUUGCUCUACCAAUAAUAAUAAUAAUAAUAAUUUUUAUCAAAAAAAUAAAAAAUAAAAAUACCAGCUCUCUAACUUGUUGUCUGUUAUUGUUACUAUUACAUUACUCGAUCUCACCACAUCACUAUGUUCGCUUAGAGUUUAGAUCCGAUACACCUUCUAUAGUGCAGAGUUUUGUACCGCCUUGGAUACCAACCACGAUCACACUUGGUGCUAUCUACGGUCUCCAACCUAGAUGAUGUGGCAAUUAUCUAGAACCGUACAAUACUGUGCGGGGACGAAAGGUGGACCGUAGUCCUUCACCAUACGCAACUGUAUCACGGCGGACGAGAAACCCAAUUAAAGCGUUGCGAUCUGAUGGCCCCGUCUCCCGCGCCCUCCCGCUUCCCGUUCCAACUCGAACUUUCCCUCCUCCAUCCCCUUUUCCAACUCGAACUUCCCCUCUCCUCUCCCUAUAUAUUGCAAAGCGAGACAGAAAGCCUUCACAGAGAGAGCGUGCGAUCUCUUCUCGUCUUUGUUCAGCCUCAGCUGUAAACCCCGGAGAGAAAGAGACCGUGAGUUCCACUCGUCUUUGCAAAGUAGUAGUAUUAUUAGCUUGAUUCAUAGUUCGUUUCCAAGAACCCGAAUUUGGAUCGCUACUCCUUUGCUUUUAUACUUUGUCCAUAACUUCCGGCUCCUUAGUUUCCUAACAACAGUGGGUCGUUUCAGAUUCUCGGUCGGUACGGUGU
This 732-nucleotide long non-coding RNA is filed under the name Elaeis guineensis (African oil palm). RNAcentral's name for it is "long non-coding RNA (EGUI_LNC012325)". The record is from RNAcentral. Lineage: Eukaryota; Viridiplantae; Streptophyta; Magnoliopsida; Arecales; Arecaceae.